Molecule: long non-coding RNA, 1091 nt
Filed under: Malus domestica (apple)
Lineage: Eukaryota; Viridiplantae; Streptophyta; Magnoliopsida; Rosales; Rosaceae
Description: long non-coding RNA (MDOM_LNC002967)
Source: RNAcentral
AACACUUGAUUUUGAAAUCAUAUAUGAAAAAGGUCAGUUUGCAAUUCUAGUUAGCUUUUGUGAUAGUGAUUGUUGGAAUGUUUAAGUAGAAAUUCCUACUUAUUUCAUAUAUCCCACGCUGAUGAAGUAAAGGUUUCUCAUGCACUUAAUAACACUUAGCUUUCCCCCUCUAAUUAAAUUAAGAGAUGGGCCAUGUGGAGCAAUUUCUUGAUUAAGAGCAUGAUAAUUAUAUAUCUAAUUAUAAAGGCCUAAGGCCUCUGGACUCUUUCAAUUAAUCAUUAAAACCUAGUUUAAUUCAGUCAUAUCCUUUCCUAAAUGAUAAGUCUGAUGAGAAACAGUUUGUAACUGCUCACACUUGUUAGCAUUAGGUCAACGUGUUUUAUAGAAACACACCAUCACAUUGACAAAAAAAUAAUCAUCAACCCCAAACUUCCAUACUAGUCUUCUUAUUGAGAACCACAUUGAUUUUCACCAGCAAUCAAAGUCUCGGUGCUGUGAUUUUGAUUCAGACUAUUGAACCCUAGUAAAGCGGAUGCCUAACGAACUACAAGCACUGAGUAGAGGCGAAAAUUUGUUUCAAGGACAUUGCAAUCCACAAGCCUCUGUCUACUCAAUGAGUUAGUGAAUUCAUAUGGAGUUUAUCAUUAUUCUUCGUUAUCUAUCAUCUGAAUUCAGUUUGUUAUGCUAUUAUUAUUCAAAAUCCAAUUAUGUAUACACUUGUUGUAUUACGUUAAUUCUAGUUUCUAGAAUUACAUACAUACAUACAUAUAUAUAUACACACACACUUGAUGUGCUUUACAUCUUUUAUAUAUAUUAGUUUAUAUUGGGAUUUUAUAUGAUUAAUUUCAUAUAAUAUAUUUGAAGAAUACAAUCUUUUUUAUCUAUUUCUAACAAUCUUGAAACAUAUCUUAAUGGAUCAACAAAAUGUGUCUGCGAAUGCUAUCAAUGGCUCCAAAAAUCCUCACUCGGAGAAGCCAGAGAAAUUUAAAGGAUUUGACUUUAAGAGAUGGCAACAAAAGAUGCUUUUCUAGCUCACAACAAUGAACUUGGCAUAUGUUGUCAAGGAAGAUGCUCCGCAAUCUAAUGAAGAU